RNAcentral lists this ribosomal RNA (400 nucleotides) under phytoplankton environmental sample. Its description in RNAcentral is "partial small subunit ribosomal RNA". It matches the Rfam family "Eukaryotic small subunit ribosomal RNA", at positions 587 to 990 of the family's 1831-position model. The record is from RNAcentral.
AGCUUUGUAAGCGUAUACUAAAUUUUUUGCAGUUAAAAUGCUCGUAGUAAGAAUUUGGCAGUUCUGGACGUGUGCACGUCGUGUGCGCACUUUGCGGGGACUGCUUUUGUGGUCUUGCGUAUGAUGAGGCACUUUUAUUAGUGAACGUCCUCACGCAACCACUCUUUACUGUGAGAAAAUCAGAGUGCUCAAAGCAGGCAUUUGCCGUCAAUGUAUUAGUAUGGAAUAAUAGAAUAGGACUCGGCUCUAUUUUGUUGUUUUGUUGGGACUGAGUAAUUAUUCAGAAGGACAGUUGGGGUAUUUGUAUUCCGGCGCUGGAGGCCAAAUUGCUAGAUUUCCGGAUGACAAACUACUGCGGAAGCGUCUGCCAAAGAUGUUUUCAUUGAUCAAGAACGAAAGU